This 437-nucleotide ribosomal RNA is filed under the name uncultured bacterium. RNAcentral describes it as "bacterial SSU rRNA". It matches the Rfam family "Bacterial small subunit ribosomal RNA", at positions 954 to 1392 of the family's 1533-position model. The record is from RNAcentral.
GCUAAACGCGAAGAACCUUACCAAGGCUUGACAUAUACCUGAAAAGGCUGGAAACAGUCUCCCCGCAAGGCAGGUAUACAGGUGGUGCAUGGUUGUCGUCAGCUCGUGUCGUGAGAUGUUGGGUUAAGUCCCGCAACGAGCGCAACCCUCGUUCUAUGUUGCCAGCACGUAAUGGUGGGAACUCAUAGGAGACUGCCGGGGUCAACUCGGAGGAAGGUGGGGAUGACGUCAAAUCAUCAUGCCCCUUAUGUCUUGGGCUUCACGCAUGCUACAAUGGCCGGUACAAAGGGCUGCAAUACCGCAAGGUGGAGCGAAUCCCAAAAAGCCGGUCUCAGUUCGGAUUGAGGUCUGCAACUCGACCUCAUGAAGUCGGAGUCGCUAGUAAUCGCAGAUCAGCAACGCUGCGGUGAAUACGUUCCCGGGUCUUGUACACACCG